GAUGAACGCUAGCGGGAGGCCUAACACAUGCAAGCCGAGCGGUAUUGUUUCUUCGGAAAUGAGAGAGCGGCGUACGGGUGCGUAACACGUGUGCAACCUGCCUUUAUCUGGGGGAUAGCCUUUCGAAAGGAAGAUUAAUACUCCAUAAUAUAUUGAACGGCAUCGUUUAAUAUUGAAAGCUCCGGCGGAUAGAGAUGGGCACGCGCAAGAUUAGCUAGUUGGUGAGGUAACGGCUCACCAAGGCGAUGAUCUUUAGGGGGCCUGAGAGGGUGAUCCCCCACACUGGUACUGAGACACGGACCAGACUCCUACGGGAGGCAGCAGUGAGGGAUAUUGGUCAAUGGGUGCAAGCCUGAACCAGCCAUCCCGCGUGAAGGACGACUGCCCUAUGGGUUGUAACCUUCUUUUGUAUAGGGAUAAACCUACCCUCGAGAGGGUAGCUGAAGGUACUAUACGAAUAAGCACCGGCUAACUCCGUG
This 479-nucleotide ribosomal RNA is filed under the name uncultured bacterium. RNAcentral describes it as "partial 16S ribosomal RNA". It matches the Rfam family "Bacterial small subunit ribosomal RNA", at positions 28 to 507 of the family's 1533-position model. The record is from RNAcentral.